UACGGGGGGGGCAAGCGUUGUUCGGAAUUACUGGGCGUAAAGGGCGCGUAGGCGGGAUGGCAAGUCGGUCGUGAAAUCCCUCGGCUCAACCGGGGAACGUCGAUCGAUACUGCUGUUCUUGAGGAUUGCAGAGGAGACUGGAAUUCCCGGUGUAGCGGUGAAAUGUGUAGAGAUCGGGAGGAACACCGGUGGCGAAGGCGGGUCUCUGGGCAAUUCCUGACGCUGAGGCGCGAAAGCGUGGGGAGCAAACGGG
Molecule: ribosomal RNA, 253 nt
Filed under: uncultured bacterium
Lineage: Bacteria
Description: partial 16S ribosomal RNA
Rfam family: Bacterial small subunit ribosomal RNA
Source: RNAcentral